GACAGAGGCCUCGAGCGUUAGGCGGAAUCACUGGGCUUAAAGCGUGUGUAGGCGGAUCGUUAAGUACCUUGUGAAAUCCCACGGCUCAACCGUGGGACGGCUGGGUAUACUGGCGGUCUUGGGCCAUUCAGGGGCGACUGGAACAAGCGGUGGAGCGGUGAAAUGCGUAGAUAUCGCUUGGAACGCCGAAGGUGAAAACAGGUCGCUGGGGAUGUGCCGACGCUGAGACACGAAAGCCAGGGGAGCAAACGGG
Molecule: ribosomal RNA, 253 nt
Filed under: uncultured bacterium
Lineage: Bacteria
Description: partial 16S ribosomal RNA
Rfam family: Bacterial small subunit ribosomal RNA
Source: RNAcentral